ACGAGUGGCGGACGGGUGAGUAAUGUCUGGGAAACUGCCUGGUGAGGGGAUAACUACUGGAAACGGUAGCUAAUACCGUAUAACGUCGCAAGACCAAAGAGGGGGACCUUAGGGCCUCUUGCCAUCGGAUGUGCCCAGAUGGGAUUAGCUAGUAGGUGGGGUAACGGCUCACCUAGGCGACGAUCCCUAGCUGGUCUGAGAGGAUGACCAGCCACACUGGAACUGAGACACGGUCCAG
RNAcentral lists this ribosomal RNA (238 nucleotides) under uncultured bacterium. RNAcentral describes it as "partial 16S ribosomal RNA". It matches the Rfam family "Bacterial small subunit ribosomal RNA", at positions 91 to 334 of the family's 1533-position model. The record is from RNAcentral.